UACGUAGGGUGCAAGCGUUGUCCGGAAUUAUUGGGCGUAAAGAGCUCGUAGGCGGUUCGUCGCGUCGGCUGUGAAAUCCCGAGGCUCAACCUCGGGUCUGCAGUCGAUACGGGCGGACUGGAGUUCGGCAGGGGAGACUGGAAUUCCUGGUGUAGCGGUGAAAUGCGCAGAUAUCAGGAGGAACACCGGUGGCGAAGGCGGGUCUCUGGGCCGAUACUGACGCUGAGGCGCGAAAGCCAGGGGAGCAAACGGG
Molecule: ribosomal RNA, 253 nt
Filed under: uncultured bacterium
Lineage: Bacteria
Description: partial 16S ribosomal RNA
Rfam family: Bacterial small subunit ribosomal RNA
Source: RNAcentral